AUACGAAGGGUGCAAGCGUUACUCGGAAUUACUGGGCGUAAAGCGUGCGUAGGUGGUUGUUUAAGUCUGUCGUGAAAGCCCUGGGCUCAACCUGGGAAUGGCGAUGGAAACUGGGCGACUAGAGUGUGGCAGAGGGUAGUGGCAUUCCUGGUGUAGCAGUGAAAUGCGUAGAGAUCAGGAGGAACGUCCGUGGCGAAGGCGACUGCCUGGGCCAACACUGACACUGAGGCACGAAAGCGUGGGGAGCAAACAGGAUUAGAUACCCUGGUAGUCCACGCCCUAAACGAUGCGAACUGGAUGUUGGGUGCAAUUUGGCACGCAGUAUCGAAGCUAACGCGUUAAGUUCGCCGCCUGGGGAGUACGGUCGCAAGACUGAAACUCAAAUGAAUUGACGGGG
RNAcentral lists this ribosomal RNA (397 nucleotides) under uncultured bacterium. RNAcentral describes it as "partial 16S ribosomal RNA". It matches the Rfam family "Bacterial small subunit ribosomal RNA", at positions 523 to 918 of the family's 1533-position model. The record is from RNAcentral.